Molecule: ribosomal RNA, 936 nt
Filed under: uncultured organism
Description: bacterial SSU rRNA
Rfam family: Bacterial small subunit ribosomal RNA
Source: RNAcentral
AUGCGGUAUGACGGUACCCUUUCGAAUAAGAGGUUGCUAACUCUGUGCCAGCAGCAGCGGUAAUACAGAGACCUCGAGCGUUAUCCGGAUUUACUAGGCGUAAAGCGUCUGUAGGGGGUUUGUUAAGUUCCAAGUAAAAUCUUAAGGCUCAACUUUAAGUUCGCUUGGAAAACUAAUAAACUGGAGUCCAGCAGAGGUGCAUGGAACUUGCGGUGUAGGAGUGAAAUCCGUUGAUAUCGCAAGGAACACCAAAGGCGAAGGCAUUGCACUGGGCUGGUACUGACCCUGAGAGACGAAAGCGUGGGGAGCAAAACGGAUUAGAUACCCGUGUAGCCCACGCCGUAAACGAUGGAUACUAGAUGUUCGGGGAUUCGACCCCCUGGGUGUCACAGCUAACGCGUUAAGUAUCCCGCCUGGGAAGUACGGCCGCAAGGCUAAAACUCAAAGGAAUAGACGGGGAUCCGCACAAGCGGUGGAGCGUCUGGUUUAAUUUGAUAGUAAGCAAUGGACCUCACCAAGGUUUGACAUCCUAUGACAACCCUGGAAACAGGGCUUCCUUCGGGCAUAGUGACAGGUGCUGCAUGGUCGUCGUCAGUUCGUGCCGUGAGGUGUUCCGUUAAGUCGGGAAACGAACGAAACCCUCGUCGCAUGUUACAAAUUUCAUGCGAGACUGCCCGGGUCAACCGGGAGGAAGGCGGGGAUGACGUCAGAUCAGCAUGGCCCUUAUACCUUGGGCUACACAGGCGCUACAAUGGCCGGUACAAAGGGUUGCAAAACCGCGAGGUGAAGCUAAUCCCAUAAAGCCGGUCCAAGUUCGGAUUGGAGGCUGCAACUCGCCUCCAUGAAGUUGGAAUCGCUAGUAAUCGUGGAUCAGCCAUACCACGGUGAUACGUUCCCGGAUCUUGUACUCACCGCCCGUCACACCAAGAGAGUUGG